Arabidopsis thaliana (thale cress) is the source of this 307-nucleotide long non-coding RNA. RefSeq annotates it as other RNA. Lineage: Eukaryota; Viridiplantae; Streptophyta; Magnoliopsida; Brassicales; Brassicaceae. The transcript has a single exon. The record is from RefSeq.
GGACAGCGUCGAUCUUCUGAGUACAACAGAUGCCGAAGGUGGGAUUGCGGUUCGACAAAGAAGGCAACCUUCUAGCUGUUUCACGAGGGAGGGUUUUAAGAUUCUAGCGAACUCAACAGGUUCUAAACUUCUGCAAUAAGUCAUUCACUUUGGUAUAUUUUUCCCUUCCUCAAUAGCCUAGUUCCUCUGAUGCUGUGACUGUAAAUGCGGAUUCUGCAAUGGGUUUUGCUUUAGAUUCUGUUUGAUUCUGUCUCCUCUUUAGCUUUUCGUUUUCUUCUUCUACUUCAUUGAACUUUUCCUGCAACCG